AAUCAACGCUGGCGGCGUGCCUAACACAUGCAAGUCGAGCGGGAAAGGGGGCGUUCGGCCCUCGAGUAUAGCGGCGGACGGGUGAGUAACACGUGGGUAAGUUUGCCCUUGGGUGUGGAAUAACUCAGGGAAACUUGAGCUAAUACCGCAUGACAUCCUUUUCUCACAGGAGUUGAGGAUCAAAGCCGGGGACCCUUCGGAGCCUGGCGCCUGAGGAGAAGCCCGCGCCCGAUUAGCUAGNGGUUGAGGUAAUGGCUCACCAAGGCUUCGAUCGGUAGCCGGCCUGAGAGGGCGGACGGCCACACUGGGACUGAGACACGGCCCAGACUCCUACGGGAGGCAGCAGUGGGGAAUUUUUNUCAAUGGGGGAAACCCUNAACAAGCAACGCCGCGUGGAGGACGAAGACCU
This 409-nucleotide ribosomal RNA is filed under the name uncultured bacterium. Its description in RNAcentral is "bacterial SSU rRNA". It matches the Rfam family "Bacterial small subunit ribosomal RNA", at positions 32 to 417 of the family's 1533-position model. The record is from RNAcentral.